GCUUGCCAACCACAGCUCCUGGAUUGUUAUUUUCUAGUUUUGGUUUCUUUAAAGCAGAACAAAAACUUAAAGUCAUUGGAACUUAAAGGCAAAGGAAGCUGGGUAUGAAAACCUUCUGGGUUUUUACCAAAUGUCCCUGAUGUUUAGUUAUCAUGUCUGCAUCUUUUUCAACAGGAACAUUAUCUGAGUGAUUCCAAAGUCAUCCCAAAGUAGUCAAUAGGUAUUUCUAGAAAGAAUUUCUUUCUCCACUCGCUCUGAGGUGCAGCACAGGUGCUUCAGCGCUCAGACUGUGUGCUGCUGGAUUCAAACUCCAACUCAGUUACUUACUAGCUGAUGACCUUGGCUAAGUUAUUUAACCUCUCUGUGCCCGUUCCCCACAUGUAAAAUUGGGGUUUCAGCUAUUAUUGUUGCUUCAUUGGUUCCCGGGAUGUUAAAUUCAAUUAUGUAAUUACAAGUACAACUGCCAUGAACAGGUUUGGGAACCAACACUUGACUCUUGAUAAGCAUCUGACUUAACUGACGGAGCUGCACGCAAAGGGUGAGCUAGAGACUGGCCCACUGCUGUGAGCGUUCAGCAUGCCAAGGGCCUUAGUCAGUAAGUUUCACACAAGGAAACAGAAAACAUCAGGUAACCCGGGUCAGUGACGCCCAUGAUAGUUAAGAACGACUGUUCUAAAUCUGCCUCCAUCUGUCAUCCAACCCUGGCCACACCUGGGGAGAAUCACCUGGGGAUGUGUAAACAAUACGACAUCCUGGCAACCCCAGAGACUGAUAUAAGUGGUACCAGGUGGGGCCUGGGCAUUUCUCAAAGCUCCUAGAUCUUUACCAGCUGGGAUAAGCACCCGAGGGCUAGAAGGGAAGCCCUUGGAGGGCAGGGCCCGCCUCUCUGAUCUCACAACUGGACACACAGUGCCUGGCAUGGUUCCUGGCCACAGCGGGCCCUCACAUCCUAGCUUUUAAAGGAGUAUAUGGUGGCCACUAGGUUUCAAGCACCAGGGCACAGGCUUGAUCCCCUCUUCCCAGCUUCCCUAUUGUGCCAGUGGGCAGAAACCAACCACACAAUGUUGCUGAGGCCGUGCCCAAGGAGCAGACAAAGGCACCAAUGGGAAGCCUCAGGGGGGAGCAACACUUCCCCCAGAAACAGUUCCAGGAGGCACCAGGCGCCGGCCAGGGCUGCAGUUAAUCAUUCACCCCACAACACAGGAAGUGAGCCCUACGCCAGUCCCAGCCCCAGGGCUUCCUGAGGUCGGGGCAGGUCCGCAGUCCACACAUCACCCAGACAGAGGACAGCCCAGCCCAGCCACAGGUGAGGCGGCCUGAUGGCCUGGGGCAAAGGCCCUCGGUCCAGUCUCUUCCCCGUCCACCCCAAGUCUGACUUCUCUCAGGAGGGACUCAUGAACACGUGCCCUGAGCACCCCCAAAAUGACAUCACACAAGGGCAGAAAGGAGCUGAAGGGGGAACAUGAAAGGCAGAAAGGGAGCCGUGGUUGCCAGGCAACCAGCCCUAGCCCACCUUUGUUUGUUUGGUGACAGCAACUAAGGUCUGGUCAGGGCCGCUUGGCCACGCUCAUGCCUUUUCCUCUCAACAGUUGCUUCUUUGAGUCAGGGUGCAGCUCUGGUCACCUGGCGGCCUCUUCAGCUCAGCCCUCCACAAAGUGUGAGCCUGAAGGACCACCCUGAAUUGCCCUUGUAGGACCCAGAACAGCUACCAGCAGAAUCAGAUUCUCAUGGACCAACUGGUAUUCAAAGAGACAAUCUGGAAUGAUGCGUUCUGGCAGAACCCCUGGGACCAGGGGGGCCUGGCAGUGAUUAUCUUAUUCAUCACCGCUGUCCUGCUUCUCAUCUUAUUUGCCAUCGUGUUUGGUUUACUCACUUCCACAGAAAACACUCAGUGUGAAGCGGGUGAAGAGGAGUGACCUGACUUCCUGGGGACUGAGAUGGCAGCAGGGGAGGCGAGCUGACCUGCCCCCAUUCCAGUGGUGGGCCCCUUUGCAAUUCCCUCUGGCUCAGGGGCCAAGCCCUGGUGUCUUCCUUUCCCACCAGGAAAAAGUCUAGUAAAAUACUGUAUCUGGCUUAGGGUUGGUCAGACUAGUAAGAUGGGGAGGCUGGUCUGAGACCAAUUCUGGCUCCUUGACCCUAUUGUUUUUAGGGUUCCCCGACCAGAACCCUAAAAGCACAUGGAGGGGACGGCUCCACUGCCUCAGGUGGAAGGAGCUAUGGCUAACAAGGUUCUCUAACAGGCUCACAGGCCCAGCCAGCAAUUUCACAAAUCCUUGACAGAGAAAGACACAACCAAAUGAAAUAAAAAUUCCUUUUCAAAUCUGCUAACUUGUGAGAGCUCAUUUUUAAUCCAGAUA
RNAcentral lists this long non-coding RNA (2357 nucleotides) under Pan troglodytes (chimpanzee). RNAcentral describes it as "long non-coding RNA NONPTRT006931". The record is from RNAcentral. Lineage: Eukaryota; Metazoa; Chordata; Mammalia; Primates; Hominidae.